RNAcentral lists this ribosomal RNA (254 nucleotides) under uncultured bacterium. RNAcentral describes it as "partial 16S ribosomal RNA". It matches the Rfam family "Bacterial small subunit ribosomal RNA", at positions 524 to 776 of the family's 1533-position model. The record is from RNAcentral.
UACAGAGGGGGCAAGCGUUGUUCGGAAUUACUGGGCGUAAAGGGCGCGUAGGCGGCCCGCUAAGUCGAACGUGAAAUCCCCGGGCUCAACCCGGGAACUGCGUCCGAUACUGGUUGGCUUGAAUCCGGGAGAGGGAUGCGGAAUUCCAGGUGUAGCGGUGAAAUGCGUAGAUAUCGGGAGGAACACCAGUGGCGAAGGCGACUACCUGGCCUGUUUCUUGACGCUGAGGCGCGAAAGCUAGGGGAGCAAACGGG